RNAcentral lists this transfer RNA (72 nucleotides) under Candidatus Chisholmbacteria bacterium RIFCSPHIGHO2_01_FULL_52_32. RNAcentral describes it as "tRNA-Glu". It matches the Rfam family "tRNA". From Rfam's summary of the family: Transfer RNA (tRNA) molecules are approximately 80 nucleotides in length. Their secondary structure includes four short double-helical elements and three loops (D, anti-codon, and T loops). RNAcentral also lists the same sequence under 1 other name. The record is from RNAcentral. Lineage: Bacteria; Candidatus Chisholmiibacteriota.
GCCCCCUUAGUCUAGAGGUCAGGACGUCGGGUUUUCAUCCCGGAAACAGGGGUUCGAUUCCCCUAGGGGGCG